GGAGCUGGAACUCAGUGGUAGGGCACUUACCUAAUAUGUAUGAGGUCUUGAGUUCAAUCCUCAACAUUCCCU
RNAcentral lists this transfer RNA (72 nucleotides) under Marmota marmota marmota (Alpine marmot). It matches the Rfam family "tRNA". From Rfam's summary of the family: Transfer RNA (tRNA) molecules are approximately 80 nucleotides in length. Their secondary structure includes four short double-helical elements and three loops (D, anti-codon, and T loops). The record is from Rfam by way of RNAcentral. Lineage: Eukaryota; Metazoa; Chordata; Mammalia; Rodentia; Sciuridae. RNAcentral also lists the same sequence under 1 other name.